Molecule: long non-coding RNA, 1688 nt
Filed under: Piliocolobus tephrosceles (Ugandan red Colobus)
Lineage: Eukaryota; Metazoa; Chordata; Mammalia; Primates; Cercopithecidae
Description: lncRNA (ENSPTEG00000006260.1)
Source: RNAcentral
UUGUUUUAGCACAUAUGUGUAUAUAUACAUACAUAUAUGUGUAUGUAUGUAUGUACGUACGUUUAUCUAUUUUUUUUUUUUUUUCUUUAUUUUUUUUUUUUUUUCAAAAACAAAGCGAGGCACCAGAUAACUUCCUCGAUUUGUAUUCGUCGCAACAUAAUUUAUCUGAAUCCACAAGUGUUGAUUUUAUAAAUUUGGAAAACAACAUCAAACUAGAAACUGAACUUAAUUCUAUGAAUUUAAAUAUUUUUAACACUCUCGAAUAUAAUGAUAUGAAUGGCAAUACGUUGAACGAACUGGAAAGGAUAGAUUAUGAUAACUCAUGCUCUUUAAAAGACCAUAUAUCAAACGACCCGUAUAGUAAUAUAAGUCUGUUUGGGAAUUUUAGUAGUGGAAAUAAAGUUGCAUCAUUAAAUAAAAUAAACAAAUUUGAUUUUAAAGAAAACGAUAGCAUACAACAUGAUGUAGAGCACUAUAAAGCAAAAGAAAUAACUCUUUUAAAAAUGAAUGAAAUUAACCCUAUAUAUAGCACAAAGGAUGAAAUGGUGGUAGACGUCGUGGUUGUAUCAGGCUGUAGCAGUGAAGGGAAGGAAAUACCGUUAUCUUUGUGCAACGACAGCUGCUCUAAUGAAAAUGAAAAUAAGAAGGCUACUGCUGAAUUAAGCGGAUCUUGUAGUGUACCUUUAAGUGGGAAAAAAGAUAUAACAUAUAGCGAGUGCCCAUUGACGAGUGAUUUUUUUGAUACGAUUGAAAAUUUAAAUACAAAGGUUUUUGAAAAGUAUAAUAACUUAAAGGGGUGUUCAGAAAAUUUAAUAGAAAAUGUAAAUAAAUUCGAUUUUGAUAAAAGAAUAAACGAUUUGUUACAAAUACAUGAUGACAAUUUAGAUUUUAUUAACCAGUUUAAAAAAAAAAGUGAAGAAUGCAUAAGAAAAUGUCAGAAGUUUGAAACGACUUCAGAAAAUCUAAUAAGUGAGUGUAUCAAUACCCUGGCGGAUAGCAGUAUCUGUUAUGCAAAAUGGGUAGGUCUGCAUUCAUACCAAAUCGACCCAAUUUACAAACAGUUGGAUGACAUAAAGCUUUUUAUCGAAGCGAACGAAUAAAGAGACUGAGGAUAUUCAUUUUGUUUAUGUUUAUGUUUAUGUUUAUGUUUAUGUUUAUGUUUAUGUUUAUGUUUAUGUUUAUGUUUAUGUUUCUGUUUCUGUUUCUGUUUCUGUUUCUGUUUAUGUUUCUGUUUCUAUUUAUGUUUCUGUUUCUGUUUCUGUUUCUAUUUAUGUUUCUGUUUCUGUUUCUGUUUCUAUUUCUGUUUCUGUUUCUGUUUCUGUUUCUGUUUCUAUUUCUGUUUCUGUUUCUAUUUCUGUUUCUGUUUCUAUUUCUGUUUCUAUUUAUGUUUCUGUUUCUAUUUCUGUUUCUAUUUAUGUUUCUGUUUCUGUUUCUAUUUCUGUUUCUGUUUCUAUUUAUGUUUUUGCUUUUUUAUACGCAUGGAGUGCGCGCAUGUAUAUAAAAAAAAAAAAUGUUAAUAGUUUUAAGCAGUACGUGUUGUGUUCGAAGAACUGAUAAGAGUAUACAUCGCGUACAUAUAAAUGUACACCAUGCAGUGUAUUUUUUUUUUUUUUUUUUUUUUUCCAAUUUUUGGUUCUUUUUUAAUUUUUUAAAAAAAAUAAAAAACGUAAAAAAAAAAAAAAAAAACA